RNAcentral lists this ribosomal RNA (551 nucleotides) under uncultured Glomeromycotina. RNAcentral describes it as "SSU rRNA". It matches the Rfam family "Eukaryotic small subunit ribosomal RNA", at positions 548 to 1098 of the family's 1831-position model. Lineage: Eukaryota; Fungi; Glomeromycota. The record is from RNAcentral.
UUGGAGGGCAAGUCUGGUGCCAGCAGCCGCGGUAAUUCCAGCUCCAAUAGCGUAUAUUAAAGUUGUUGCAGUUAAGAAGCUCGUAGUUGAACUUCGGGGUUCACCCAUUGGUCAGGCUUAAUUGUCUGUACUGGUGAGAUGAAUCUCUACCUUCUGAGGAACUUUCAUGCCAUUUAGUUGGUGUGAUAGGAAAUCAGGACUGUUACUUUGAAAAAAUUAGAGUGUUUAAAGCAGGCUAACGUCUGAAUACAUUAGCAUGGAAUAAUGAAAUAGGACGGAUUGGUUCUAUUUCGUUGGUUUCUAGGAUCACCGUAAUGAUUAAUAGGGAUAGUUGGGGGCAUUAGUAUUCAAUUGUCAGAGGUGAAAUUCUUGGAUUUAUUGAAGACUAACUAUUGCGAAAGCAUUUGCCAAGGAUGUUUUCAUUAAUCAAGAACGAAAGUUAGGGGAUCGAAGACGAUCAGAUACCGUCGUAGUCUUAACCAUAAACUAUGCCGACUAGGGAUCGGACGAAGUUAAUUUUAUAAUGACGCGUUCGGCGCCUUACGGGAAAC